Molecule: long non-coding RNA, 1022 nt
Organism: Anguilla rostrata (American eel)
Lineage: Eukaryota; Metazoa; Chordata; Actinopteri; Anguilliformes; Anguillidae
Exons: 2
Source: RefSeq, a predicted model, not a curated record
UAUGAGAAAUGGCAAACCAAUAAUUUUUGUCAAGAGUUCUUUUUUUUUUUUUUACCAGCUGAAAUACUUGUGGAUUGCCACAGUUUAAAAGCCAGAGAUAAAGCACAUUCAGGGUACUGAAUGAAAACGCCAUCUGGGGUUUUUUUUUUUUUUUCAUUUUCUUUUUUCCUUCCUUUUUUCAAGUCUUGUAAUCAAAUUUCAGCAAAAAAAAAAUCAAAUGGGGGGUUUUCAAUGAAAGUACCUUUUGUUGAUCUGAAACGAGCAAGUAAUUUACAAAAUGCCCUUCCUUUGUGUGGGAGGCUAAAGGAAAAAAGAAAUCAGUAGCUUUUAAAGCUAGGCCUUGCUGCGACUGGAAAGAUAAUGAAAGCCGUCUGUGUUGUGGGGUAGAGAGCGUUUGAAAGGCAGGCCGGACUCAGGGUUACAGCGCUGAAAAACCUGUGUGUUUGUUUUGUGAGCAGGACUAAGAGCUUCCAAUCCACAGAGAAAAGAUCUGAGAGGAAAAACAUCGCGAAGACUGCCGACUCUGAUAACCCUCUCGCUUAAAGUUUACCUGCUCUCCUCCGGAGAACACUUGGCGACAAAACGCGGCAAAUAAAUAAAAAAAUAAAUAAAAAAAUAAAUAAAAAUAAAAAAACAACAAACAAAAAAAAGAGAAGCAGGAGCAGCAGAAGAGAUCCGUUGGACUGAGGACUGCUUCCUUGCGUUGCAGGAUGCGUGACGAUCCCGUUCGUUCCAUUGGUAGGUCCAGGACUACUACGGACUUCUCGGGAAAAGGGUAGCGAGCUAAGGCUAACGUUCAGCGAGGACUAGGUGAGUGCACGUUGGAGGGAGAGCACCGAAUCCCGGACAGGCAGUCGGAGGAUUACGGCGCAGGGAACAACAGAGCUUCUGGGAGGAUGCUACUCUCCCAGCCCCACGAGAACAGGAUCAAGGGCGGCUGAAGUGUUGCUCUCGAGCCGGGCGGAUGUAGCAUCCUUCUCUGCCAAUCAAUCUGCGGAGAGGACAGCAGCCGAACUGGCACG